Molecule: long non-coding RNA, 329 nt
Filed under: Capsicum annuum
Lineage: Eukaryota; Viridiplantae; Streptophyta; Magnoliopsida; Solanales; Solanaceae
Description: long non-coding RNA (CANN_LNC004841)
Source: RNAcentral
GCUACUCUGAAGAUGGGGACUCAUCAAUCACUCUAUUGGUACGAGCUAAUUGGUCAGCAAAUUCAUCAUUCACAAAGACUGUCUAAAGGUAGCCCAUCUACUACUAUUCUCUAAUAUAGUCGUGGAAUAUAAGAGGACCACAAGAGGAGCUCCAGUAUGUACUCAUUAACUGCUAUACAUCAAAUAUGUUUAUGUAAGUGUCUAACUAAUAUAGGGGCAGGUCAACUCACUAAAAGAGGCAAUCAAAUCCCUUGGAGCAAAGAGAGAUGUUGAACUGAGAUUUUAUAGCCACAUAGACUAGGAUUUUAGAAAUGUUAGCUAUUUUAUUC